This is a non-coding RNA of Pelobates cultripes (western spadefoot toad), 688 nucleotides long. Lineage: Eukaryota; Metazoa; Chordata; Amphibia; Anura; Pelobatidae. The record is from the annotation of a GenBank genome assembly.
CAAAAGCGUACCCCUCAGCACACCAUCAAAGCUGGAUCCAGAUAUGGAGGCACCUUGCCCAGAGUUUCCAAGAGAGACACUUGUAGAAGCGGCGGCCGGGACUUCCCGACAUUGGGCAUAGGCUGAAAGCCCCAACGUAAAGCCCUACAAGGACAAUGCCUUACAUCAACUGAUGACUCUAAGUUUUGUUUUUUUUGUUUGUUUUUUGCGGUUUGUCUUUUAUACAUAGACCUGUGAUGCUUUGUAGCAGCGGCCAUUUAGCUCUAAAGCGGCCACGUGUGCGCAGCUAUGGGGAAGUAAAAGCGCCUGCCUGCUUGCCUAGCAAUUACCUGCUUCCCAGUAGGGGUUUUAUCUACUUCCCAACUCGUAUCUCAUAAGCAUGUAGCUAACUCUGUUUUUACCUAACCACCCACAUGUAUAGCUAACCUAUACUGAAUGCAGAACCCAUAGCUUCACAUAAUCAGACAUACAUGUACAGCCUGGAACCCAACUAUAAAACGAGUGUACUAACGUUAAACUUUUGUUUAAGCUAACACUUCUCCUAGAUUCUCACUCUAGCUAAACAACCCCAUGCUGUCAGUUAAAGUUUCUAGAGCUUAGUAUAUUGUCGAAUUAUUGCUUACUGACAUAGUUUUAACGUAUCAUCUAUUUGCUAUAUACCUAAAAAUUGUGUCUAGCUCGAUUCAAC